Molecule: ribosomal RNA, 427 nt
Filed under: Odontotermes sp. MZB.BLATT.955
Lineage: Eukaryota; Metazoa; Arthropoda; Insecta; Blattodea; Termitidae
Description: partial small subunit ribosomal RNA
Source: RNAcentral
UUAGAUACCCUAUUAUUUUGAGUGUUAAUGUUUUUACCUGAGUAGUAUUAGUUGUGUUCUUGAAACUUAAAGAAUUUGGCGGUAUCUUACUCCUUUCAGAGGAAUCUGUCUCGUUAUCGAUAGUCCGCGUUGGACCUUACUUGGGGUUGAAUUAUGGUUUGUAUACCGCCGUUUAUUGAUUAUCUUUUUAGAGCUUCUGAAUUUUCUGGUUUCUUUAAUUUGAUUUAUUGCAGGUCAAGGUGCAGCUUUUCCUAAGUGUAAUGAUGGAUUACAGUGUUAUUUGGUGUUUUUGGAUUGUUUGAUUUGAAUAUUGGCAUGAAAUUGGAUUUGGUUGUAAUGUUUUGUAGAUUGUUUACAUGAUAGUUUGGUUCUAGGAUAUGUACACAUCGCCCGUCGCUCUCAUUUAAGUUGUUGAUGAGAUAAGUCG